This 444-nucleotide ribosomal RNA is filed under the name uncultured bacterium. RNAcentral describes it as "bacterial SSU rRNA". It matches the Rfam family "Bacterial small subunit ribosomal RNA", at positions 30 to 504 of the family's 1533-position model. The record is from RNAcentral.
CGAACGCUGGUGGUAUGCUUAACACAUGCAAGUCGAACGAACGAAAGCGGAGCUUGCUCUGCUUGAGUUAGUGGCAAACGGGUGAGGAACACGUGGGAAUCUACCCAUUAGUACGGAAUAACCCUUGGAAACAAGAGCUAAUACCGUAUAUUCUCUACGGAGGAAAGAUUUAUCGCUAAUGGAUGAGCCCGCGCAAGAUUAGGUAGUUGGUAGGGUAAUGGCCUACCAAGCCGACGAUCUUUAGCUGGUCUGAGAGGAUGAUCAGCCACACUGGGACUGAGACACGGCCCAGACUCCUACGGGGGGCAGCAGUGAGGAAUAUUGGACAAUGGGCGAAAGCCUGAUCCAGCAAUACCACGUGAAUGAUGAAGGCCUUAGGGUUGUAAAGUUCUUUUAAUAGGGAAGAUAAUGACGGUACCUAUAGAAAAAGCCCCGGCUAACUCC